UUGGAGGGCAAGUCUGGUGCCAGCAGCCGCGGUAAUUCCAGCUCCAAUAGCGUAUAUUAAAGUUGUUGCAGUUAAAAAGCUCGUAGUUGAAUUUCGGGAUUGACACAUCGGUCGUGCCUUAAGGGGUAUGAACUGGUGUAGUCAGUUUCUCACCUUCUGGAGAACCGCGAUGUCCUUAAUUGGGUGCCGCGAGGAACCAGGACCUUUACUUUGAAAAAAUUAGAGUGUUUAAAGCAGGCAUUUUGCUUGAAUACAUUAGCAUGGAAUAAUAAAAUAGGACGGAUGGUUCUAUUUUGUUGGUUUCUAGGAUCACCGUAAUGAUUAAUAGGGAUAGUUGGGGGCAUUAGUAUUCAAUUGUCAGAGGUGAAAUUCUUGGAUUUAUUGAAGACUAACUACUGCGAAAGCAUUUGCCAAGGAUGUUUUCAUUAAUCAAGAACGAAAGUUAGGGGAUCGAAGACGAUCAGAUACCGCUGUAGUCUUAACCAUAAACUAUGCCGACUAGGAAUCAGACGAUGUUAAUUUCUUAAUGACUCGUUUGGCACCUUACGGGAAACCAAAGUGUUUGGGUUC
Molecule: ribosomal RNA, 570 nt
Filed under: uncultured Glomeromycotina
Lineage: Eukaryota; Fungi; Glomeromycota
Description: SSU rRNA
Rfam family: Eukaryotic small subunit ribosomal RNA
Source: RNAcentral